Trachemys scripta elegans is the source of this 304-nucleotide long non-coding RNA. RefSeq lists it as uncharacterized. The transcript is spliced from 3 exons. The record is from RefSeq and is a predicted model, not a curated record. NCBI's taxonomy places the organism in Eukaryota, Metazoa, Chordata, Testudines, Emydidae.
CCCGCCCCCCGGGCAGAGCACAUGGCACGGCCACGCACUAGAACCGCCUCCCUCCCCGCACGCCGGAUGGUACCGCCCGCCAGGCUCUACCCUCCCUCCCCGCACACGAGAUGGGAAUGGGGAAAGCAGAAACACAUACAGAUGUCAAAUCAAAACACAUUUGUUCUUAGUGUGGCGCCCCCACUCCCCCACCCUGGGAAUUUACUCGGCAGCUUGUUGUUUCCUAGAUAAAUAUGGACUAUGCAGCACAAAUGGAAUGUACCUGUUGGACAAUCAAAGGAGUUGCUCCGUUCCUAUGGACCCC